CUGCCAGCAGCUGGCGGCGGUGCGGCUGAGCCCGCAAGCGCGAGAGGAGGGGCGGGGGCUGCAAGGACUUUAGGAAGAGGGGCCGGAGUCUCGGAAGCCAAGGUAGCCGGAUCAGCAUGAUGUCAUCAUUGUGGUCAUUGGCAGAGAGAUCCGCAUUGAACCCAGGAUGGGGGAAGAAAUCCGUGGCCAGAAGCAGCUUCUCGGGGCCCUCCCACUGCCACAGUCUGUCAUCCAGCACUCAGGAGGCAGAGACAAGAAGACCAGGAGUUCAAGGACAUCAUUGGCUGCAUAGCAGGUUCAAGGCCAGCCUGGACUGUGUGAAUCCUGUCUGAAAAAAAAAUCCAAGAUUUGAAGAUUGUAUUAAACCUAAUGCUCAAAGAUUCUAGACUCCCAGUAGUCCAGGACAGUAAGACAAGAGUUUUGUCAGUCCAGCAGUUCAAGACAGUAAGACAGGAGUUCUGUCAGUCUAGCUAUCUAGGACAGUAAGACAGGAGUUCCGUCAGUCUAGCUGUCUCUAAACAUUUGAUUUAGAAAACUUUAGGCAUCCACAGUCAAGAGCACCUGAGAGAAGCCCUCUUACUUCAUAAGAUUCUGCAGUAGUGGGAUUCUGGGACAUUAAACCCACCAGAUUUACAUGUU
Long non-coding RNA from Mesocricetus auratus (golden hamster), 639 nucleotides. RefSeq lists it as uncharacterized. The transcript is spliced from 3 exons. The record is from RefSeq and is a predicted model, not a curated record. Lineage: Eukaryota; Metazoa; Chordata; Mammalia; Rodentia; Cricetidae.